CCCUUAGAUGUCCUGGGCUGCACGCGCGCUACACUGAUGUGUCCAGUAAGCACCUAACCUAUUCCGAGAGGAGCGGGUAACCUUAGCAAAGCACAUCGUGAUGGGGAUAGAUUAUUGCAAUUAUUAGUCUUGAACGAGGAAUUCCUAGUAAGCACAAGUCAUCAGCUUGUGUUGAUUACGUCCCUGCCCUUUGUACACACCGCCCGUCGCUCCUACCGAUUGAAUGUUCCGGUGAGCUCUUCGGACUGCGCGGUCUGCAGUUUCUGCGUUCCGUGCGGAAAGUUGCGCAAACCUUAACAUUUAGAGGAAGGAGAAGUCGUAACA
This 324-nucleotide ribosomal RNA is filed under the name uncultured eukaryote. RNAcentral describes it as "partial 18S ribosomal RNA". It matches the Rfam family "Eukaryotic small subunit ribosomal RNA", at positions 1470 to 1796 of the family's 1831-position model. The record is from RNAcentral.